Molecule: ribosomal RNA, 800 nt
Filed under: Microbacterium sp. JSM 2215136
Lineage: Bacteria; Bacillati; Actinomycetota; Actinomycetes; Micrococcales; Microbacteriaceae
Description: bacterial SSU rRNA
Rfam family: Bacterial small subunit ribosomal RNA
Source: RNAcentral
UGGGGUGGCGGUCUCUUUACAUGCAGUCGAACGGUGAAGAGAGCUUGCUCUCUGGAUCAGUGGCGAACGGGUGAGUAACACGUGAGCAAUCUGCCCUUGACUCUGGGAUAAGCGCUGGAAACGGCGUCUAAUACCGGAUACGAGCUGCGAAGGCAUCUUCAGCAGCUGGAAAGAACUUCGGUCAAGGAUGAGCUCGCGGCCUAUCAGCUUGUUGGUGAGGUAAUGGCUCACCAAGGCGUCGACGGGUAGCCGGCCUGAGAGGGUGACCGGCCACACUGGGACUGAGACACGGCCCAGACUCCUACGGGAGGCAGCAGUGGGGAAUAUUGCACAAUGGGCGCAAGCCUGAUGCAGCAACGCCGCGUGAGGGACGACGGCCUUCGGGUUGUAAACCUCUUUUAGCGGGGAAGAAGCGAAAGUGACGGUACCUGCAGAAAAAGCACCGGCUAACUACGUGCCAGCAGCCGCGGUAAUACGUAGGGUGCAAGCGUUAUCCGGAAUUAUUGGGCGUAAAGAGCUCGUAGGCGGUUUGUCACGUCUGCUGUGAAAACUGGAGGCUCAACCUCCAGCCUGCAGUGGGUACGGGCAGACUAGAGUGCGGUAGGGGAGAUUGGAAUUCCUGGUGUAGCGGUGGAAUGCGCAGAUAUCAGGAGGAACACCGAUGGCGAAGGCAGAUCUCUGGGCCGUAACUGACGCUGAGGAGCGAAAGGGUGGGGAGCAAACAGGCUUAGAUACCCUGGUAGUCCACCCCGUAAACGUUGGGAACUAGUUGUGGGGUCCAUUCCACGGAUUCCGUGACG